Molecule: ribosomal RNA, 301 nt
Filed under: uncultured bacterium
Lineage: Bacteria
Description: partial 16S ribosomal RNA
Rfam family: Bacterial small subunit ribosomal RNA
Source: RNAcentral
CAGCAGCCGCGGUAAUACGGAGGGAGCUAGCGUUGUUCGGAAUCACUGGGCGUAAAGCGCACGUAGGCGGCUAUUCAAGUCAGGGGUGAAAGCCCGGGGCUCAACCCCGGAACUGCCUUUGAAACUAGAUAGCUUGAAUCUUGGAGAGGCGAGUGGAAUUCCGAGUGUAGAGGUGAAAUUCGUAGAUAUUCGGAAGAACACCAGUGGCGAAGGCGACUCGCUGGACAAGUAUUGACGCUGAGGUGCGAAAGCGUGGGGAGCAAGCAGGAUUAGAUACCCGCGUAGUCCCUGUCUCUUAUAC